CACUAUAGUACCUAGAAACUUCUCCUCUCUCCCACGUUCCAUCGUGAUUAACAAGCUCUCCCUUUUUCUGCCUUGUUACUGCCGCCGCCGACCAGCCACCUCCGGCGGCUUCCCCCCUUCUCCCUUCUCUCUUUCUCUUCUCUCUUUCUGUUCUCUCUUCCUCUCUCCUUCUCUCUCUCGGAUCCGCACCGCCGCCGCCCCUGUGCAUGCACAGGCGGCGGCUUCGGCCUCCUCCGUGCCUCGUGCUGCUGGAGCAGCUUCCCGGCGCCACUCCAGCCCGGCCGCUGCCCCCUCGCCGUUUUCCGGAAGUCACUGGAAUCCGACAGUAUCUCCCCCAUGAGAUGAGUUUUCCAUCUCUGUGGUUGUUAUGGAUGCAGGCAGGGACGGAUCUAUUAGGCCUCCAAAAGGGGCAAAUGCCCCACCUAAAAAAAAUUCAUAUUCUAUUUUCCAAUUACAUAUGCAUGCUUGUUGUGUAUAGCGUUUGAAAGAAGGCCAUGGAGUUUACCUCUUUGAAGGCCAUGGAGUUUACCUCUUUGAUGUGGGACAAAGUGCUGUUGGAUUGAGGACUUGAUCCUUUUGUAAAAGAUUAGGAUUUGAUUCUUUUGUAAUAUUAGACCUUAUUGGACACUCGAUGCAUUUACCGGACAAUAAGAACUUUUAAUUUGGAUUUA
Salvia hispanica is the source of this 671-nucleotide non-coding RNA. The record is from RefSeq and is a predicted model, not a curated record. Lineage: Eukaryota; Viridiplantae; Streptophyta; Magnoliopsida; Lamiales; Lamiaceae.